Ipomoea nil (Japanese morning glory) is the source of this 443-nucleotide long non-coding RNA. RefSeq lists it as uncharacterized. NCBI's taxonomy places the organism in Eukaryota, Viridiplantae, Streptophyta, Magnoliopsida, Solanales, Convolvulaceae. The record is from RefSeq and is a predicted model, not a curated record. The transcript has 3 exons.
GUAUAUCCAAGAGAUAUAUUAUAUAUAUGCAUUUUGGACUGAUAGCAUGGACAAGGAAUGACGUGUUGAACAUGAGGCUUAGAUUAUUGGCAGAAUCAAAGGGCUUUCGACUGGAUGAUACAGGAUUGUUUCCUGCUUUUCAAAGUUCUCAUGGGAAACGGGGUAUGAAAGGGGCUAGCUUGAAGCCUUGAAGUUUGACACUAAAAAGGAAGUCUUUGAUUUCCUUGGAUUUCCCUGCCUUGUGAACCCCACGAGAGGAACUUGUGAGAUUUCAUGUAAGUAAUUUUGCAUUUUGCUACGAAAAUGAUUUUUGUAUUUCACAACGUAAGUAAACACUGAACUCCACAGCUACAAAUUAUGACAUGGGCUCUAUCACUUAUAUAGACCUUACGUUAGUACCUUUCUGAAGUGCAUGAUCCACGACUCCACCUGUCGCUUAGAAC